Molecule: ribosomal RNA, 395 nt
Filed under: uncultured bacterium
Lineage: Bacteria
Description: bacterial SSU rRNA
Rfam family: Bacterial small subunit ribosomal RNA
Source: RNAcentral
GAACGAACGCUGGCGGUAUGCUUAACACAUGCAAGUUAAACGGGUUCAUUUAGGGCUUGCUCUAGAUGAAUACAGUAGCAAACGGGUGAGUAAUACGUAGGAAUCUGCCCAUCAGUACGGAAUAACAUUCAUACCGAAUGCUAAUACCGUAUAUUCUCCGAGGAGGAAAGAUUUAUCGCUGAUGGAUGAGCCUACGUCAGAUUAGGUAGUUGGUGGGGUAAAGGCCUACCAAGCCUGUGAUCUGUAGCUGGUCUGAGAGGAUGGUCAGCCACACUGGGACUGAGACACGGCCCAGACUCCUCCGGGAGGCAGCAGUGGGGAAUAUUGGACAAUGGGCGAAAGCCUGAUCCAGCAAUACCGCGUGAAUGAUGAAGGCCUUAGGGGUUGUAAAGUUC